Molecule: ribosomal RNA, 468 nt
Filed under: uncultured bacterium
Lineage: Bacteria
Description: partial 16S ribosomal RNA
Rfam family: Bacterial small subunit ribosomal RNA
Source: RNAcentral
GACGAACGCUGGCGGCGUGCUUAACACAUGCAAGUCGAACGGAAAGGCCCUGCUUUUGUGGGGUGCUCGAGUGGCGAACGGGUGAGUAACACGUGAGUAACCUGCCCUUGACUUUGGGAUGACUUCAGGAAACUGGGGCUAAUACCGGAUAGGAGCUCAUGCUGCAUGGUGGGGGUUGGAUAGUCUGGGCGGGUGCGGCUGGACUCGCGGGUUAUGAGCUGGUUGGUGGGGUAGUGGAUUACCAAGGGUGGGACGGGUAGCCGGCCGGAGAGGGUGAACGGCCACAUUGGGACUGAGGUACGGCCCAGACUCCUACGGUAGGCAGCAGUGGGGAAUAUUGCACAAUGGGCGGAAGCCUGAUGCAGCAACGCCGCGUGCGGGAUGACCGCCUUCGGGUUGUAAACCGCUUUCGCCUGUGACGAAGCGUGAGUGACGGUAAUGGGUAAAGAAGCACCGGCUAACUACGUG